GGUGACUCAGUGGUAGAGUGCCUGCCUCAAAUGCAGGAGGUCCUGGGUUCGAUUCCUCAGCACCA
This 65-nucleotide transfer RNA is filed under the name Dipodomys ordii (Ord's kangaroo rat). It matches the Rfam family "tRNA". From Rfam's summary of the family: Transfer RNA (tRNA) molecules are approximately 80 nucleotides in length. Their secondary structure includes four short double-helical elements and three loops (D, anti-codon, and T loops). The record is from Rfam by way of RNAcentral. Lineage: Eukaryota; Metazoa; Chordata; Mammalia; Rodentia; Heteromyidae.